GGCCCGCACCCGCGGUGGAGCAUGUGGUUUAAUUCGAAGCAACGCGAAGAACCUUACCAGGUCUUGACAUCCUCUGACAAUCCUAGAGAUAGGACGUCCCCUUCGGGGGCAGAGUGACAGGUGGUGCAUGGUUGUCGUCAGCUCGUGUCGUGAGAUGUUGGGUUAAGUCCCGCAACGAGCGCAACCCUUGAUCUUAGUUGCCAGCAUUCAGUUGGGCACUCUAAGGUGACUGCCGGUGACAAACCGGAGGAAGGUGGGGAUGACGUCAAAUCAUCAUGCCCCUUAUGACCUGGGCUACACACGUGCUACAAUGGACAGAACAAAGGGCAGCGAAACCGCGAGGUUAAGCCAAUCCCACAAAUCUGUUCUCAGUUCGGAUCGCAGUCUGCAACUCGACUGCGUGAAGCUGGAAUCGCUAGUAAUCGCGGAUCAGCAUGCCGCGGUGAAUACGUUCCCGGGCCUUGUACACACCGCCCGUAA
RNAcentral lists this ribosomal RNA (480 nucleotides) under bacterium BJSM6. Its description in RNAcentral is "bacterial SSU rRNA". It matches the Rfam family "Bacterial small subunit ribosomal RNA", at positions 918 to 1399 of the family's 1533-position model. The record is from RNAcentral.